RNAcentral lists this transfer RNA (83 nucleotides) under Pseudomonadota bacterium. RNAcentral describes it as "Proteobacteria bacterium tRNA-Tyr". It matches the Rfam family "tRNA". From Rfam's summary of the family: Transfer RNA (tRNA) molecules are approximately 80 nucleotides in length. Their secondary structure includes four short double-helical elements and three loops (D, anti-codon, and T loops). RNAcentral also lists the same sequence under 2 other names. Lineage: Bacteria; Pseudomonadati; Pseudomonadota. The record is from RNAcentral.
GGGAAAGUGGCUGAGUGGUUUAAGGCGACAGACUGUAAAUCUGCUGAUUCACAUCAUCGCAGGUUCAAAUCCUGCCUUUCCCA